RNAcentral lists this ribosomal RNA (254 nucleotides) under uncultured bacterium. RNAcentral describes it as "partial 16S ribosomal RNA". It matches the Rfam family "Bacterial small subunit ribosomal RNA", at positions 524 to 776 of the family's 1533-position model. The record is from RNAcentral.
UACGGGGGGGGGCAAGCGUUGUUCGGAAUUACUGGGCGUAAAGGGCUCGUAGGCGGCCAACUAAGUCAGACGUGAAAUCCCUCGGCUUAACCGGGGAACUGCGUCUGAUACUGGAUGGCUUGAGUUUGGGAGAGGGAUGCGGAAUUCCAGGUGUAGCGGUGAAAUGCGUAGAUAUCUGGAGGAACACCGGUGGCGAAGGCGGCAUCCUGGACCGAGAUUGACGCUGAGGCGCGAAAGCGUGGGGAGCAAACAGG